RNAcentral lists this ribosomal RNA (800 nucleotides) under uncultured Pelagibacteraceae bacterium. Its description in RNAcentral is "bacterial SSU rRNA". It matches the Rfam family "Bacterial small subunit ribosomal RNA", at positions 36 to 884 of the family's 1533-position model. The record is from RNAcentral. Lineage: Bacteria; Pseudomonadati; Pseudomonadota; Alphaproteobacteria; Candidatus Pelagibacterales; Candidatus Pelagibacteraceae.
CUGGCGGCACGCCUAACACAUGCAAGUCGAACGAAGUAGCAAUACUUAGUGGCAGACGGGUGAGUAACAUGUAGGUAUCUACCCUAUGGCCUGGAAUAACACGAGGAAACUUGUGCUAAUACCGGAUAAGUCUUUACGGAGAAAGCUUUAUGCACCAUUGGAUGAGCCUGCACUUGAUUAGUUUGUUGGUAGGGUAAUGGCCUACCAAGACUGUGAUCAAUAGCUGAUUUGAGAGGAUGAUCAGCCACAUUGGGACUGAGACACGGCCCAAACUCCUACGGGAGGCAGCAGUGGGGAAUCUUGCACAAUGGAGGAAACUCUGAUGCAGCGAUGCCGCGUGAGUGAAGAAGGCCUUUGGGUUGUAAAGCUCUUUCGUCGGGGAAGAAAAUGACUGUACCCGAAUAAGAAGGUCCGGCUAACUUCGUGCCAGCAGCCGCGGUAAUACGAAGGGACCUAGCGUAGUUCGGAAUUACUGGGCUUAAAGAGUUCGUAGGUGGUUGAAAAAGUUGGUGGUGAAAUCCCAGAGCUUAACUCUGGAACUGCCAUCAAAACUUUUCAGCUAGAGUAUGAUAGAGGAAAGCAGAAUUUCUAGUGUAGAGGUGAAAUUCGUAGAUAUUAGAAAGAAUACCAAUUGCGAAGGCAGCUUUCUGGAUCAUUACUGACACUGAGGAACGAAAGCAUGGGUAGCGAAGAGGAUUAGAUACCCUCGUAGUCCAUGCCGUAAACGAUGUGUGUUAGACGUUGGAAAUUUAUUUUCAGUGUCGCAGCGAAAGCGAUAAACACACCGCCUGGGGAGUACG